This 74-nucleotide transfer RNA is filed under the name Phycisphaeraceae bacterium. Its description in RNAcentral is "tRNA-Ile". It matches the Rfam family "tRNA". Rfam says of the family: Transfer RNA (tRNA) molecules are approximately 80 nucleotides in length. Their secondary structure includes four short double-helical elements and three loops (D, anti-codon, and T loops). Further hydrogen bonds mediate the characteristic L-shaped molecular structure. tRNAs have two regions of fundamental functional importance: the anti-codon, which is responsible for specific mRNA codon recognition, and the 3' end, to which the tRNAs corresponding amino acid is attached (by aminoacyl-tRNA synthetases). tRNAs cope with the degeneracy of the genetic code in two manners: having more than one tRNA (with a specific anti-codon) for a particular amino acid; and 'wobble' base-pairing, i.e. permitting non-standard base-pairing at the 3rd anti-codon position. Lineage: Bacteria; Pseudomonadati; Planctomycetota; Phycisphaerae; Phycisphaerales; Phycisphaeraceae. The record is from RNAcentral.
GGGCCUGUAGCUCAGUUGGUUAGAGCGCACCCCUGAUAAGGGUGAGGUCGACCGUUCGAGUCGGUCCAGGCCCA